Molecule: long non-coding RNA, 638 nt
Filed under: Phoenix dactylifera (date palm)
Lineage: Eukaryota; Viridiplantae; Streptophyta; Magnoliopsida; Arecales; Arecaceae
Description: long non-coding RNA (PDAC_LNC020039)
Source: RNAcentral
AAAAUAAAACCUUUCCUUUGGGUCUCUAAGCAUUUUAGGUGAUGUAAAUCAUGUUCAAGCCGUGUGAAUUUCAAAAACAUGGAUCUUUCAGCAGUGUGAAUUUUAAAAUUAAGAUCUCUCAUCAAUGAUUUUUCAUUGAUAGGGGAUUAAGGCUUCGAUCCUAUUGGUAACAACCUCCAACCCCCGCCCCCCGCCGCAAACAAAAAAAAAGUACAUGGAUACAUAUGCUACACACAUAAUAUAGAUACAAUAUACAUGUAUGUGUAUACAUAAUUGCAACAUGGAAAAUAACUCACUGCGUGGUAAAAUUGAGAAGACAUUAGAAUAAAUAUUACCAGAUCCAAACAUUACAUAAAAUCCCCCUGAGACAUCUAUCUCUGAGCGCUCCUCCCUGUCAUCAAAUGUGUAGCUUGAUAUUAAUCAACAUUGAGAUAAAAUCUAUGUGGAUACAUUUUCCAAAAUUGCAUGCACACCAUACUUUGAACAUAACCUAAUGGAUUUCACAUAUGCAUGAUGGACACAGUUCAGAGCACUUUAUUCCAUGGUGGAUUAGACCGGUUUCCAGAUAGAUCACUCAAGCAAUUAUAUAUCAAAUCAGCCAGUCCAGUGGUUUGUUUAAAACAAGGCCAGUCUCCCAC